AGAGGGGGUUAAGGAAUUCCAGGUGUACGGUGAAAUGCGUAGAGAUCUGGAGGAUACCGGUGGCGAAGCGGCCCCUGGACAAGACUGACGCUCAGGUGCGAAAGCUUGGGGAGCAAACAGGAGUAGAUACCCUGGUAGUCCACGCCGUAAACGAUGUCGACUUGGAGGUUGUGCCCUUGAGGCGUGGCUUCCGGAGCUAACGCGUUAAGUCGACCGCCUGGGGAGUACGGCCGCAAGGUUAAAACUCAAAUGAAUUGACGGGGGCCCGCACAAGCGUGGAGCAUGUGGUUUAAUUCGAUGCAACGCGAAGACCUUACCUACUCUUGACAUCCAGAGAACUUAGCAGAGAUGCAUUGGUGCCUUCGGGAACUCUGAGACAGGUGCUGCAUGGCUGUCGUCAGCUCGUGUUGUGAAAUGUUGGGUUAAGUCCCGCAACGAGCGCAACCCUUAUCCUUUGUUGCCAGCGGUUAGGCCAGGGAACUCAAAGGAGACUGCCAGUGAUAAACUGGAGGAAGGUGGGGAUGACGUCAAGUCAUCAUGGCCCUUACGAGUAGGGCUACACACGUGCUACAAUGGCGCAUACAAAGAGAAGCGACCUCGCGAGAGCAAGCGGACCUCAUAAAGUGCGUCGUAGUCCGGAUUGGAGUCUGCAACUCGACUCCAUGAAGUCGGAAUCGCUAGUAAUCGUGGAUCAGAAUGCCACGGUGAAUACGUUCCCGGGCCUUGUACACACCGCCCGUCACACCAUGGGAGUGGGUUGCAAAAGAAGUAGGUAGCUUAACCUUCGGGAGGCGCUACCACUUUGAUC
RNAcentral lists this ribosomal RNA (808 nucleotides) under Enterobacter sp. DC1. Its description in RNAcentral is "bacterial SSU rRNA". It matches the Rfam family "Bacterial small subunit ribosomal RNA", at positions 653 to 1467 of the family's 1533-position model. Lineage: Bacteria; Pseudomonadati; Pseudomonadota; Gammaproteobacteria; Enterobacterales; Enterobacteriaceae. The record is from RNAcentral.